UAUGAAAUCAUCCAUUCCGGAACAUUGGUGAAAUCGUUAAGGUUAAAUAUUUUUUAAUAUUGUGAAAUACCUGUUAUUUAAAAACGCAGUUAUAACAUAUACACUUUAAACGUUGCCAGUUCAUUAUAAAUCAACAGAAUAAAUAAAAUGGAAAAACUGUGUCCAGCAAUACUUGGAAUAAUUACAUUAGUUUUAUUGUGUGCUGGAGCUUUCUCUCCCGGAUGGAUUGCUGUAGGUGACACUUCUAGCAUAAGUGGAGUUGAGGGCCAUGAUACUUCAGGCGGUGUUGACGUACAUAUGGGAUUAUUUUAUCUAGUUGUUGUUGGGAAAGAUUUUACAACAGUAGUGGGAUAUGGUGAAGUUAGAGGGCUUAGCGUUUUAAGUUUGGGAUUUCUUGAAUACCAGAUAGAAACUAUCCUGGGAAUAGUCUUAUGUUUUAUAUCAGUUAUACUGACUUUUAUAUACAAGAAAGAAGGGACGAAUGGAUUUUUGGUUGCUAUUAUCAUAAUGUACAUUAUAGCAGGUCAGUAGUAAAGGGCUUUAUCACAAAAAUGGGUUUGAAGCAUCUAAAAAUAGACAGCAACAUCGGGAUGCUUUCGGAAAAUAAAAUUCAACACUUCCAGAAUCUAGCGGUCGUCUUUUCUUAUCAAUAUUUACAAUAUUGUACCACGGGACUUAUUUUCACAUCCUGUAUUACUGUAUUGGAUCAAGUCAUUUCUGUAACUUCAAUGGAUUUGUUUAUGUUCCCAUCAUUGCCUCAUAUUUAACAACGACUUUGAUUUUCCCGUCAAAUUGGCUGACCAAAAGAUACAAAGAGGUACAUGUAGGGGCAAUUUCACCUGCAUGUAUUUCAGGCAAUGACAAUUUUUAAAAAGUCUUUCAAGAUUUGCUUAAAUUUAUAGUAUCACAUCCCAAUAUGCGCACUUUAAGGUCCUAAUAAUAUCAUGGCUUAUGGUAUAACUUUAAGGUCCUAAUAAUAUCAUGGCUUAUGGUAUAACUGUAAGGUCCUAAUAAUAUCAUGGCUUAUGGUAUAACUUUAAGGUCCUAAUGAUAUCAUGGCUUAUGGUAUAACUUUAAGGUCCUAAUGAUAUCAUGGCUUAUGGUAUAACUUUAAGGUCCUAAUGAUAUCAUGGCUUAUGGUAUAACUUUAAGGUCCUAACGAUAUCAUGGCUUAUGGUAUAACUUUAAGGUCCUAACGAUAUCAUGGCUUAUGGUAUAACUUUAAGGUCCUAAUGAUAUCAUGGCUUAUGGUAUAACUUUAAGGUCCUAACGAUAUCAUGGCUUAUGGUAUAACUUUAAGGUCCUAACGAUAUCAUGGCUUAUGGUAUAACUUUAAGGUCCUAACGAUAUCAUGGCUUAUGGUAUAACUUUAAGGUCCUAACAAUAUCAUGGCUUAUGGUAUAACUUUAAGGUCCUAACAAUAUCAUGGCUUAUGGUAUAACUUUAAGGUCCUAACAAUAUCAUGGCUUAUGGUAUAACUUUAAGGUCCUAACAAUACCAUGGCUUAUGGUAUAACUUUAAGAUCCUAACAAUAUCAUGGCUUAUGGUAUAACUUUAAGGUCCUAACAAUAUCAUGGCUUAUGGUAUAAAUUUAAGGUCGUAAUAAUAUCAUGGCUUAUGGUAUAACUUUAAGGUCCUAACAAUAUCAUGGCUUAUGGUAUAACAGAUCGUCAAAUUUUAAACGCCCGAACAUAGCCCAAAACAAUAUUUUGAUAGAGUUCAGGCACAUUUUUAGUAUUUAUUGAAAAAAAAUGUAUAAGGACAUUAUUAACCAAAACCAAAAUUCUGCUGGAAGAUAAAACUAUGUAUUGUCUGUCGGAUACAAAUCAAUUCAUUUGGUUAACGACGCCCUACUAUGGAAAAUUUGACAAAACACAUGUAAAAGUACCAAUCUGUAUCAAAUUUAUUUUUCAUUAGCAACAUGUAGUACUGAAUAUCAUGUAGUACUUAUGAAGGGAAUGUUUUUUUUUUUUAGGUAAUACGGAUUUUUCUUUAAAAUAGUUAGUGGGAAGUGCUACCUAUGAAAGAGGACAAAUUCACAAUCAGCACCUGUUUAAAACACCAUUUAUUUAUCUGUUUAUCCUCUUUACAUUUAUUAAAUGUAUUUAAAGUGGACAAUACUGUCUUGUAAUCCUUGAUCUUUUCACAUGUUUUUUUGUCACUACUUCCUCAUUUGCGCAAUUUUCCAGAUCGAUCCCUUUGACGGUUUUUCCGGUGUUUUCAUUAGAAAUAAUAAUAGAGCAUACGAUCUAUGUUUAUGUAUCUGAUUAUUAAAAUGCCUGAUGCCAUUAAAAAUAAUACCAUUUCUGGUAAAUCUAAGUUAAUAUGAAAAAUAACUCUGUUUUCUUUUAGUAUCUCGGAAUGUGCACAUUUUGAACCUGCGGUAUUUGCAGUUUUUUGGGGUUUGCGUGAACUUUGAUUUUGACAUUUAUAAUAUAUUUUUACUUAUUAAAAAUAAUUUUUAACGCCUAUUUAUCACACGAUUUUAUAAAGUGGAAACGAAAUCAGUUUUAUGGGGGAGGAGGGUGAUCAUGUGAAAACAAUGCCGCAGUGAGUACAAUGCAAUCGACGUGUCUAGCUCUGUCAAGAUUUAGAUCAAGGCACACUUUGAUAUCAACUUCGGGAAGUCCUUUUUCUUGUCUUAGAUAAAGCCUAUAUAUCCAAUAUAUUUUAUUUGACUCGAGCAGUUGAUACCCUGAUGCAAAUGGGCAUACAUGGCUCGAGCUUCUUGCUGUGAUGUUCAAUGUUGGCAAAUCGUCUUAAGCGAUCUGUUAGCAUUCCCUAUAUGUCAAAGAUAACGCUUAGGACAAGCAUGUGUGUACCUACCCGAAUUUUAGUAUGAAUGCGAUAUACAUCCCCAACCAGAUAUAGUUAAUAACAGAUAAUCCCUUGGCAGCAUAACUCUGAAGGAUGUACAUAGGUAAGGUUUAGGAAUUUUUAUCAGAUGUUCGGACUGCUUGGUUUUUUUCCUACGAUACAGGGUAAAAUAUUUUGCCUCAUAACACCCAUUUUUCUUUUCAUAUAAGACUUCAAUAGCUCAUAAAAGGUCAUUUAUUAAAAUUCAAGCAGAUUCUAGAUUUCUGUUCUUUCGAUUUGAGACCCAAAUAAUACCAAUGCAAAUAUAAGGUAAAAGUCCGAGUCAGCCUUUCCCCGCCAUUUAAAAAAAAUAAAUAUCUCGAAAAGGAGCUCCAUAACCUAUCAAUAUUUUUAGCUUAUUUUGUUCUUUAACUAAUGCUUUUUUGACUUAUAGUAUCAUUCUAAAUUCUAGAUUUUUUAAGUUUCACCAAAGUACAUCCUUAAAUGGUAAAUCUCCAAUGUCAAAAUCGAACCCGACUUGUAUAUUUCAUGGUUCAUGACAUUAUGUUUAAAUUCAGAACAGUUCUCUCAAGUGGACCUUUUACUAUCAUCCAGAAACAAAAACAAAAUUUUCAGAAAUUUAGGGGCACAACUCUUUUAAUGUAAAUGCAAAAACCGUCAAAACCGAACUCUCUUUUUUCAAGUGUAUGACAUACAUUUUCUGGUGACCGUGUCGAAAUUAUCAUUCAAAAGUAUAAUUGUGGUAAAUAAUUGUUAACAGUGCAUAUUAAAAUUCUCAUUUUUUUUCAGGAAUAUCUACAGUUGUAGCAGUCGGACGUUGGCUUAGCAGUGUGAUAUUAAUUUCAACUUACACAAACAUAACAAUGAUCGUUCCAUAUUCUUUAAUUUUAAGUGGUCUUGGUGCCAUUCUUUGUGGGAUCAUAAUGAUAUGUACAAGUUGCAUGUACUGCCAGCACAACGCUGCUAGACCAGCCCAAGGGGGUCAGGUGUUUUCAGAUGUUGCAAUGACCGGUUAUCCACAAACACAGCCGUAUACGCAAGGACCGACGUCAUAUGGACAACCACAGGAUAACAAAGGCUACGGAUACAACUACGGCAAUGGCAGUGGCAUACCUUAUAAAGCUUAGCAAUGUAAAUCCAAUCAUAGAAAAAUGUGUAUAUUAAAAUGUAAAAUAAUGAAUAUUAAGUUUACAAUUAUAGCAAAAACUGUAACAUUGUUAUCAUAAAAGUUAAUGUACAUUUUACAUCACAGAUAUUAUAUUCAAAAUCAUAUAUUCCAUCAUUUUGUAAACUUAAAAGAAUAAAAUUGGUAUGGAAAAAACACGUUCGUUGAUUUGCCUCUGUAUUUGAUUUAAUACCAUUCACAUUGGAGCAAGGCAUAUUUGGUUUCAGUGUGUAGGUGUGUAGUUGUAAAUAUCUUCGUCAUGCAGUGAUCGCUAUUCUUUAAAAGCUAUACCAAUAAUGUACGGUUGAGAUUACCAUUAACAAUUUGUUCAAUGACUGAUUAAUUGAUUGCUGCUUGUGUAAAGUCCAGUAGCAAUUAUUUCAUACAUAUUAAGGUCGAGAACAAUUUAACAUUGAAUUCAAUAAAUAUGUAGGUUCUGCAAGACAGACGACACGUACAAAGAGCGGGAAAUUUGGACUGCCACUGGAAAAUAAAGAUAUGUUGGAAAAGGAAAGACAUUUUGCUUUGCAAAAAGUAAAAUCACAAAAAUACUGAACUCCGAAGAAAAUUCAAAAAGGAAAGUCCCUAAUCAAAUGGCAAAAUCAAAAGCUCAAACACAUCAAACGAAUGGAUAACAACUGUCAUACUCCUGACUUGGUACAGGCAUUUUCUUAUGUAGAAAAUGGUGGAUUGAACCUGGUUUUAUAGCUAGCUAAACCUCUCACUUGUAUGACAGUCGCAUCAAAUUCCAUUAUAUUGACAACGAUGCGUGAACAAAACAAACAGACACAAUAGGUAAAAAUGUCAAAAAUAGGGGUACAGCAGUCAACAUUGUGUUAUCAUCUUAAUCACUAUAAAAACAAAAAAAUGUAACGAAGAAGCACACAAAGGCAUACAUCAAAUUCAACAUCCUCCUUUUGCUUUUUUAUUAUACGAUUUUAUUUAUCUAUGUGAAAUCAACCCAUAAAGGAUGGAAGGUUUUAAGUACUGGCGUAAAAUCGCGCGUUUGAAAUUCGCACAGGUAGACAUAAAAUAAUUUUGUAACAGAUCUUCUACCGACUCCUCAGAGAGUUGUUGCAAUGAAACGUGCAGAGACCAUGUUAAUAACCCUACAUGAGGCAUCGAUUUAAACAUCAACAUUCCGACAUGAUAUGACGUGGCCGCGAAAUUACGGAAUGCAAAGAUACAUCAAUGAUGUGGAUGAAAUACGCCAAUGAGACAGCAAUACGAAUUCUCCAUAUAUCAAAAACAUUAAGAUAUCGCAAUUGAAGUAAGACACCACAGACAUACGUACAUAUAACCAAACCGAUGUUUAUUUACAACAGAUACAUAUAUAUAUUGACACAGAUGGACGACUUCACACGAAAAUCUAUGAUAAACGGGACGAUUUCAACUUCCCAAUUAUCAAUUUCCCAUUUCUCAGCAGUAACAUACCCUCUGCCCCUUCGUAUGGUGUUUACAUAUCUCAGUUGAUACGUUAUGCUCGUGCAUGUUCACACUAUACGGACUUCAUAUACAGGAGUGUGCUCCUAACGCAGAAACUGCUCCAACAAAGUUAUGAGGAGGACAGAUUAAAAAUGACACUCCGUAAAUUUUACGGACACCAUCACGAAUUGCUCGAUCCAUACGAUGUGUCUUUGUCCAAAAUAACUAAGGACAUUUUUACCACGUGUUAGAUUGUGGUUUGACAUUACGUCGUCUGAUCUUUUAAUUACCGAACGUGACUUAUUUCCGAUUGUGACUGUUUUGCUGAGUGUGAAUUCGCAUUGCUAUAAGACGUGUCACGGUACUAUUCUAUCCAAAUUCAUGUAUUUAGUUUUGAUGUUAUAUUUGUUAUUCUCAUCGGAUUUUGUCAAAUGUCUUAUCGUUUGUAGUUGUAAAUCUUAUUUUUUUCUGUUGUAUUCGUGUGUUAUGGUUAAGAUAAUUAAUCACCCAGUUCAUUAAUUAGAUUUUAGUUUGGGUCACCUAAAUUAAUACGAUACAUUUGGAUUACAGUUUGAUUUAGAUGAAACACCGAAAUAGCUAGAUAAUACUAUUUAUUAUCUAAUUACUACCACAUUUUAUAUUAAUUAGUAUUGUAAUUUUCUUUGUUAUUAAUAAAUGUUAUAUGAGUAUUAUAAACCAAAUCUUGAAUUCUA
Molecule: long non-coding RNA, 6120 nt
Organism: Mytilus californianus (California mussel)
Lineage: Eukaryota; Metazoa; Mollusca; Bivalvia; Mytilida; Mytilidae
Exons: 4
Source: RefSeq, a predicted model, not a curated record